Molecule: long non-coding RNA, 1315 nt
Organism: Triticum aestivum (bread wheat)
Lineage: Eukaryota; Viridiplantae; Streptophyta; Magnoliopsida; Poales; Poaceae
Exons: 6
Source: RefSeq, a predicted model, not a curated record
CACCCUCUCCCUCCCUCUGGAUCCACCGCCGCCGCACACAACUCCUCCUUCUGGAUCUCGACGCGCCGCCGCCCCCACCCCACUCCUCCGGCGUUCCCCACACAUUCUCACCGCUUAGAGACCCCCACCCUCGUGGAACCAACGCACCGGUGCCUCCUCCGAUCCAGAUCGACACGCCCCUUCCACCCCCCCCACCGUCGCCGCCCCGACCACCCCCCUUCCGCCACCCCCGCUCGCUCCGCCUAAUCCACCGCCGCCUAAUCCACCUAAGCCCGACCCAACCCGCCCAGCCCGCUCUCUUCCUCUGCCCUCUCCCUCCCCGAUUCCAUCCCAUCCCAACCCAUCGCCGCCCCUCGUCUCCCUUCCCCAUCGACGACCUCGCCGCCCUUCUCCCCCACCAGCGCCGACAAGAAAGAUCCAGCCAGAUCUGUCCAGUUCCAUGGCGACCGCCGACAACGCCCCCCGCUCCCGCAAGCGCGCCGAGGCCACCGUCCUCAAGCGCGCGCGUGCGACGGAAGCGGCUUCACCCGCUGCGAGGCGUGCAACAAGGACGUAGCCAUCGUCCUUAUCGACCUCCACAGCUGCAGCCUCGACUCCAAGAUACGCCUCAGCCUCGAGUCGCAGGUGGUGGAGAAGGCCGUGCUCGAGGCGGACCGGAAUAGUUCUGCUUGCAGGCCGGUCAUCAGAAAGCAAGAAGCCGAGCUAGAGAGUAAAUGACUCGUUAUCAUACAACAACGCGAUACCGGAUGGGUUCUACUUGAUCCAAGGGAUGGGCCCCUUUGUGUGGUUGAUGUGCACCGACGUGCAUGAGGAGAACCGGAUACCCUCAGUGGAGUCGCUCAAGUCUGUCUGCCCUGACGAUUCUUCCAUCCAGAUGAUCCUUGUUGACAAGAGAGUCGAUUUUGAUUGACUCGCUGCAUGCCUAAUUGAUUGAGUCAUUCUGCUUCGUCAAGGGAGUUCCUGCUCCACUCGCAAGGAUCGACCAUUACUGUGGGAGCCUCUCACCUCUUCUGGCGGCCUUCUGUUCUUGUUCCAGUUCGCAAGGAGACUGCAGCAGAAGCAGAGAAGACGGAUGCUACACCAAUCCAAGAGUAGAUAGCUUUAACUUGGCAGAGCGUUUUAUUUUUCAAUCGCAAUAUUUGUGAUUGUGUGGAGUAUUGUAUGGUUAUGUACGUGAAGUUUUAAGUUCCUGGGCAUGCAAUAUUUGUAGGUUAAACUGGUUGUUGUGAUGUGAACGAGUGUAUGGAGUUUCACAUGUUUUGUUCUGUACAGAAUAUAUUGUAAUAAACCUAUUUUGGUUGUUAUUUGAAGAUUU